AGGGCCUGGGAGAACCUUAUUAUACCUGCCCCAGCAUGUUGCCUUUUGAGGAGUUUGUUGACGUAUUGGUAAUUUGAAUGUCUGCCUAGCAAUGGAUUCCUUAUUCCCAUGGAUAACAGCUAUUCAGAUACUGACAUUUCUACAGACACCCUACUUGAUAAGAGAUGAAUAUAAAAUCACUCACCCUGAAUCGCCUGUUACUGGAUUCCUUGGAGAAGACGUUACCCUGUCUUGCAAGGUGAUAGCCACGAGUGUCCCUGGGGACAUCACUCUCCACUGGAGACUUGUUUGACCCCAGGAAAAUAUAGAUGUGAGUUCUUAUAACUCAGGAAACAAAGAAGAAAAACAGGAUCAGAGAUAUCAGGGUUGAACGGAGUUCUUUCAACAUGAAAAGGAACAUGUCUCUGAAGCUGAAGAAUGUCCAGGCUUCUGAUGCAGGGAAUUACAUGUGCUGAGUAGUUUCUGAGAACUGGUAUGAUGAAAUGGUGAUUGAACUGGAUGUGAUAGCUAGGGGUGGUGAGUUUUCCAUUUUCCUGGAUGAUUAUG
Molecule: long non-coding RNA, 546 nt
Organism: Dermochelys coriacea (leatherback sea turtle)
Lineage: Eukaryota; Metazoa; Chordata; Testudines; Dermochelyidae
Exons: 3
Source: RefSeq, a predicted model, not a curated record